RNAcentral lists this unclassified non-coding RNA (236 nucleotides) under Hevea brasiliensis (rubber tree). The record is from RNAcentral. Lineage: Eukaryota; Viridiplantae; Streptophyta; Magnoliopsida; Malpighiales; Euphorbiaceae.
GUUAAGUUGAAGUUGCACCACCGGGGAGCGGCUGAAGUGGGGAUCUGAAAUAGGUAGUGGAGAAAGAAAAGAUUGAGGGAAGGGCACCGGUCUUUUCCUAAUCCUCAUGGGUGCAAGAAAAGAUUUCUCUUACUGAACAAGGUUUGAUCUGAGAAGGAAAGAAAGAGGGUAGCUAAGAGCAGAAGAAGAGCCCGGAAGUGAUGUUUGAAGGUCAGAUUUCAUCAGAAGGACAGAAA